UACGUAGGUGGCAAGCGUUAUCCGGAAUUAUUGGGCGUAAAGAGCGCGCAGGUGGUUAAUUAAGUCUGAUGUGAAAGCCCACGGCUUAACCGUGGAGGGUCAUUGGAAACUGGUUGACUUGAGUGCAGAAGAGGGAAGUGGAAUUCCAUGUGUAGCGGUGAAAUGCGUAGAGAUAUGGAGGAACACCAGUGGCGAAGGCGGCUUCCUGGUCUGCAACUGACACUGAGGCGCGAAAGCGUGGGGAGCAAACAGU
This 253-nucleotide ribosomal RNA is filed under the name uncultured bacterium. RNAcentral's name for it is "partial 16S ribosomal RNA". It matches the Rfam family "Bacterial small subunit ribosomal RNA", at positions 524 to 776 of the family's 1533-position model. The record is from RNAcentral.